Molecule: ribosomal RNA, 503 nt
Filed under: uncultured bacterium
Lineage: Bacteria
Description: partial 16S ribosomal RNA
Rfam family: Bacterial small subunit ribosomal RNA
Source: RNAcentral
AUUGAACGCUGGCGGCAGGCUUAACACAUGCAAGUCGAGCGGGGUGAUGGUGCUUGCACUAUCACUUAGCGGCGGACGGGUGAGUAAUGCUUAGGAAUCUGCCUAUUAGUGGGGGACAACAUCUCGAAAGGGAUGCUAAUACCGCAUACGUCCUACGGGAGAAAGCAGGGGAUCACUUGUGACCUUGUGCUAAUAGAUGAGCCUAAGUCGGAUUAGCUGGUUGGUGGGGUAAAGGCCUACCAAGGCGACGAUCUGUAGCGGGUCUGAGAGGAUGAUCCGCCACACUGGGACUGGGACACGGCCCAGACUCCUACGGGAGGCAGCAGUGGGGAAUAUUGGACAAUGGGGGGAACCCUGAUCCAGCCAUGCCGCGUGUGUGAAGAAGGCCUUAUGGUUGUAAAGCACUUUAAGCGAGGAGGAGGCUUACCUAGUUAAUACCUGGGAUAAGCGGACGUUACUCGCAGAAUAAGCACCGGCUAACUCUGUGCCAGCAGCCGCCGUAA